UACGAAGGGUGCUAGCGUUGUUCGGAAUCACUGGGCGUAAAGCGCGCGUAGGCGGCCAAUCAAGUCAGGGGUGAAAUCCCACAGCUUAACUGUGGAACUGCCCUUGAAACUGUAUGGCUAGAGUGUCGGAGGGGAUGGCGGAAUUCCUAAUGUAGAGGUGAAAUUCGUAGAUAUUAGGAGGAACACCGGUGGCGAAGGCGGCCAUCUGGACGACAACUGACGCUGAGGCGCGAAAGCGUGGGGAUCAAACAGG
Molecule: ribosomal RNA, 253 nt
Filed under: uncultured bacterium
Lineage: Bacteria
Description: partial 16S ribosomal RNA
Rfam family: Bacterial small subunit ribosomal RNA
Source: RNAcentral